UACGUGCCAGCAGCCGCGGUAAUACGUAGGGCGCAAGCUUUAUCCGGAAUUAUUGGGCGUAAAGAGCUUGUAGGCGGUUUGUCGCGUCUGCUGUGAAAACCCGAGGCUCAACCUCGGGCCUGCAGUGGGUACGGGCAGACUAGAGUGCGGUAGGGGAGAUUGGAAUUCCUGGUGUAGCGGUGGAAUGCGCAGAUAUCAGGAGGAACACCGAUGGCGAAGGCAGAUCUCUGGGCCGUAACUGACGCUGAGGAGCGAAAGGGUGGGGAGCAAACAGGCUUAGAUACCCUGGUAGUCCACCCCGUAAACGUUGGGAACUAGUUGUGGGGUCCAUUCCACGGAUUCCGUGACGCAGCUAACGCAUUAAGUUCCCCGCCUGGGGAGUACGGCCGCAAGGCUAAAACUCAAAGGAAUUGACGGGGACCCGCACAAGCGGCGGAGCAUGCGGAUUAAUUCGAUGCAACGCGAAGAACCUUACCAAGGCUUGACAUAUACGAGAACGGGCCAGAAAUGGUCAACUCUUUGGACACUCGUAAACAGGUGGUGCAUGGUUGUCGUCAGCUCGUGUCGUGAGAUGUUGGGUUAAGUCCCGCAACGAGCGCAACCCUCGUUCUAUGUUGCCAGCACGUAAUGGUGGGAACUCAUGGGAUACUGCCGGGGUCAACUCGGAGGAAGGUGGGGAUGACGUCAAAUCAUCAUGCCCCUUAUGUCUUGGGCUUCACGCAUGCUACAAUGGCCGGUACAAAGGGCUGCAAUACCGCAAGGUGGAGCGAAUCCCAAAAAGCCGGUCCCAGUUCGGAUUGAGGUCUGCAACUCGACCUCAUGAAGUCGGAGUCGCUAGUAAUCGCAGAUCAGCAACGCUGCGGUGAAUACGUUCCCGGGUCUUGUACACACCGCCCGUCAAGUCAUGAAAGUCGGUAACACCUGAAGCCGGUUGCCCAACCCUUGUGGAGGGAGCCGUCGAAGGUGG
Molecule: ribosomal RNA, 967 nt
Filed under: Microbacterium sp.
Lineage: Bacteria; Bacillati; Actinomycetota; Actinomycetes; Micrococcales; Microbacteriaceae
Description: bacterial SSU rRNA
Rfam family: Bacterial small subunit ribosomal RNA
Source: RNAcentral